RNAcentral lists this ribosomal RNA (366 nucleotides) under Urophlyctis sp. RNAcentral's name for it is "partial small subunit ribosomal RNA". It matches the Rfam family "Eukaryotic small subunit ribosomal RNA", at positions 587 to 975 of the family's 1831-position model. The record is from RNAcentral. Lineage: Eukaryota; Fungi; Blastocladiomycota; Physodermatomycetes; Physodermatales; Physodermataceae.
AGCUCCAAUAGCGUAUAUUAAAGUUGUUGCAGUUAAAACGCCCGUAGUCGAACUUUGGGUGAGGGAACAUGGUCAGCCAAUUGGUUUGUACUGUGAUGACCGAACCUUUUUUCUGGGUUUCAACUUUUGUUGAAUUUCCAGGAGUUUACUUUGAAGAAAUUAGAGUGUUUAAGGCAGGCAUUUGCUUGAAUACGUUAGCAUGGAAUAAUAAAAUAUGACAUUGGUCUUAUUUUGUUGGUUUUAAAGACCAAAGUAAUGAUUAAUAGGGAUAGUUGGGGGCAUUAGUACUCAGAGGCUAGAGGUGAAAUUCUUGGAUUCUCUGAAGACUAACUACUGCGAAAGCAUUUGCCAAGGAUGUUUUCAUUG